GAUAAACGCUGGCGGCGUGCUUAACACAUGCAAGUCGAACGAAGUUUUUCCUUCGGGGGGAACUUAGUGGCGGACGGGUGAGUAACGCGUGGGUAACCUGCCCUGUACAGGGGGACAACAGCUGGAAACGGCUGCUAAUACCGCAUAAGCCCUUAGCACUGCAUGGUGCAUAGGGAAAAGGAGCAAUCCGGUACAGGAUGGACCCGCGUCUGAUUAGCCAGGUGGCAGGGUAACGGCCUACCAAAGCGACGAUCAGUAGCCGAUCGGUGAGGAGGUACGGCUACAUUGGGACUGAGACACGGCCCAGAAUCCGACGGGAGGGAGCAGUGGGGAAUAUUGUACAAGGGAGGAAGAUCUGAUGAAGCGGCGCCGCGUGAGUGAAGAAGUAGUUCGGUAUGUAAAGCCCUAUCAGCAGGGGAGAAAAUGACGGUACCUGACAAAGAAGCACCGGCUAAAUACGUG
RNAcentral lists this ribosomal RNA (462 nucleotides) under uncultured bacterium. Its description in RNAcentral is "partial 16S ribosomal RNA". It matches the Rfam family "Bacterial small subunit ribosomal RNA", at positions 28 to 507 of the family's 1533-position model. The record is from RNAcentral.